CAUUAAUGGUGGAUUCAAUGAUUCGUUUACGUGAACCAGUUUGCGUCAGUCAGUUCGCCAAGAUGAGUCGUUCGCGAAUCGUUCGUUCGUUCGUUCGUUCAGUCCAGUUUCCGUUUCCGGUAGCGGUGAAUCGCAUCAUGGAAUGCACCCAUAGCAUGGUUCUCAGCUGAGUCAGUCAGACUCAGUGCUACCGGAAACUCGACUGAACAGGUUCAGUCGAGUUUCCGGUGAAUCGAAUGGUGAAUCAUGAUCAUGGAAUGUGUUUGUGCACGGUUCUGCUGACUCUGAGUCUGUCAGACUCAGACUCUCAAAGGAUCGUGGAACUUAAGUCGGUCAUCAGUUGCUGACUUUAUCCUGAAAGGAUGAGCCUUGCGGCGGUGGAAGGAUUGGAGGCAGUAUGAACGAUGUUAGUAAGGCCGUUGGCCUGAAUUUAUUCCGGUACAAAAAUGUCCAUCAGGAGGCAAAAAAAAUGAAUAAUGAAUAAACACAAAAAAAAACAAUCAAUAAUUCUAAAUAACUUUCAAUAAUCGAAACUUUCAAUAAUCGAAAAAACAACAGUCACUAAUCAGUCACACUAAUAAAGCCCUUGGCUGAUCUAAGAGCCAGGUGUUGUCACCCGCUCACCUCAGACCCUUCUGCCCCACCUACAUGAUUUGGACCUGAAUAUAUCCUACUUGGCCUGACCCAUUCCCCUCUUAAUUCAAUUAACCCUCCCCUACACAUUUCCGAUUUACCUAUCCCCACCCCUAGUUACCCACCUUACUCCAGACCUAUUCGUCUAAAACCCAUCCUUACCCUCUACUUCCCUGACACCUUAAAUAUUCCCCAAGUACCCCAACACACCCCUCUCCUCUCACACACUUGGUCUCGCCCGUCUGACGUCACCCCCACACCGCACAAAUGUUCUUCCGGACUUCCCGUCGGGUCCUCCCGCAUCCCCCGGCACCCGGAAGCCAGCGCAACCGUAACGUGGCGUCAUGAAAGUGUUUGAAUGUUCUGUGUGUGUUAAAUAAAAGGGUAC
Gadus macrocephalus (Pacific cod) is the source of this 1021-nucleotide long non-coding RNA. RefSeq lists it as uncharacterized. The record is from RefSeq and is a predicted model, not a curated record. The transcript has 3 exons. Lineage: Eukaryota; Metazoa; Chordata; Actinopteri; Gadiformes; Gadidae.